Molecule: ribosomal RNA, 425 nt
Filed under: uncultured bacterium
Lineage: Bacteria
Description: bacterial SSU rRNA
Rfam family: Bacterial small subunit ribosomal RNA
Source: RNAcentral
AGGGAAUAUUGCGCAAUGGGGGAAACCCUGACGCAGCAAUACCGCGUGAGUGAGGAAGGUCUUCGGAUUGUACAGCUCUGUCAGUAGGGAAAAAUGGCACUGCCGUGAAUAAUGGUGGUGUUUGAUGGUACCUGCAAAGGAAGCACCGGCAAACUUCGUGCCAGCAGCCGCGGUAAUACGAAGGGUGCAAGCGUUGUUCGGAUUUAUUGGGCGUAAAGCGCGCGUAGGCGGACCAGCAAGUCCGGUGUGAAAUCUCGGAGCUCAACUCCGAAACUGCGCCUGAAACUAUUGGACUAGAAUAUCAGAGAGGGAAGAGGAAUUUCACAUGUAGGGGUAAAAUCCGUAGAGAUGUGAAGGAACACCGGAGGCGAAAGCGUUUUCCUGGAUGAUUAUUGACGCUGAGGCGCGAAAGCGUGGGGAGCAAA